UACGGAGGGUGCAAACGUUGCUCGGAAUCAUUGGGCGUAAAGCGCACGUAGGCGGACCAUCAAGUCGGAUGUGAAAUCUCUCGGCUUAACCGAGGACGUGCAUUCGAAACUGAUGGCCUUGAGUACGAAAGAGGAUCGCGGAAUUCCCGGUGUAGAGGUGAAAUUCGUAGAUAUCGGGAGGAACACCGGUGGCGAAGGCGGCAUCCUGGACCGGUAUUGGACGCUGAUGAGCGAAAGCCAGGGGAGCAAACGGG
This 254-nucleotide ribosomal RNA is filed under the name uncultured bacterium. RNAcentral's name for it is "partial 16S ribosomal RNA". It matches the Rfam family "Bacterial small subunit ribosomal RNA", at positions 524 to 776 of the family's 1533-position model. The record is from RNAcentral.